CCCACGGAAAACGGAGGUGGUCAGGGGCCCACCCACUGUGGCCUCAUGAGCUCCUCCAACAGGCUCUGUGGCCUCCAGGAGAGAGGGGACAGAGCGAGACCUUGCCCCCUCGACUCUCCUGCUGUCACUCUCCCCAUCUGAGGGGGGACCCGCACCCACGGGUGUGGGUGCACAGAAGCUGUGCUCACAGGCGUGGCCUGGCUGCGACUGGACCUCCUGUCUUCUUGCUGAUGAGCGAGGGGACUGUGCACAGGCAGCUCUUAUCCUUCCUCACACCCUGCAGGCCCAGAGACUGGUUCAAGUGUCGGAUUUAGGCACUUCUAGCAUCUCAUAAACGCGAUGGCAUCUUCUUUCCCAGAGAAACUGGUAGCAGAGGGCACCAGUGGCACACAUUUUAUGGACCUGCUGGGAGUCAGGCGCAAGGGUAGCUGGCGGGGAGCCGCCUGGCGGGCCUGGAGCAGGACCAAGUUUCUACCUGUCUUUGUGAUCUGACCUCACUUUCAUCCCAAGAGAAAGAACCAGACGGUUAAGGCACUUUCAUCACAGCCUUGGCUUCCAGGAGAGUUGGCUGGGGCUUUUGAGGACCUUUCUAGAAGCCAGCUCGCUGAUGUUGGUUCCAUGCCUUUCCCCUUGCACAGGUGCACCACAGGCCCAGCCGCCCCCUGGCCCAUCUGGAGGUUCAUCUCUGAGGGCCAAGUGCCCAGGCUCCAUGGGACUACACGCAAGGUACGACCAGCUUAAUUCACCCCGAGUCCACGAACCACCUAUGGCCUGAACAGCCACUCAGCCCUUUAUACUAAGGGACAAGCCACACACACGUCUACAGUAAGUGGAUACAGGGUAGAGACAGGUGUGGACGCCUUAGCCAAUCCAACCUUCCACAAGAGGACACCAUAUCCUCUUGGCCCAUGUCCUAGGGGGCCAGAGGUAUGACAGCAUGAUGUGCUGAGUGGUCAUGCCGUGGAGAAGAGGCACAGAAAGCGAGGGGAUCAGUCACGUGGCUCUAAGGACAGCGUUCCAGGUGGAGGGAAGGGCACAUGUGAAGAGCCCGUGUGGAGGCCAGCACACGGCGUGGAUGCAGCCAGGGAGCAGGGGCCACAUGCAGGACGGUCCAUGAUGAGUUAAAGCAAAAGGACAGGUGGCAUUUAGCGCCCUCAACUAGGGCCUGCUGGGCAUCGUAAGGCACCAUCCCUGAAGCAUGGAACAGCACUGCCCCACUGGGCACUUAGGAGGCUCCCAACACCACCACAGACGGGCCAGAAGUGGGAGUUCUGGGUCUUGUUCUUGAGCUAGGACCUACGAUCAAGUCGGGAAAGGUGACCCUACAGACACGACAGAGCGAGGGGACAACGGCCAAAAUUUGGAGACCCGAGAUACCAUCCAGGCAGUGUGCCCACGAGACAUAAGUAAGCCACGUGAGUAACGCAUUCUUGUUUCCACCUUAAAUGGACUUUACAUGCAGAGCACUUGUCAGCUCAGACUGGACACGGGCUCCUGGCUACCACACUGCACAUGUAAAUUACCACCCUGAUCUAUUCCCCGUGUGGGUAUGUACACGCGGCCACACAGAGGAAAAAAAAGCCACUCUGGACGGUUGGACUUAAGACAUUUUUGUCUUCUUUCCAUUUUGCUAUAUUCCAAACUUUCUACAAUGAGUAUCAGUUAAGUCUGUAAAAAAAAUUCUGAAGUACAUUUGAAAAAGAUGCUUCAGGGCCGGCCGAGUGGCUCAGCUGGUUAAGAGCUUG
This is a long non-coding RNA of Hipposideros armiger (great roundleaf bat), 1745 nucleotides long. RefSeq lists it as uncharacterized. The transcript has 3 exons. Lineage: Eukaryota; Metazoa; Chordata; Mammalia; Chiroptera; Hipposideridae. The record is from RefSeq and is a predicted model, not a curated record.